AAGUCGUAACAAGGUUUCCGUAGGUGAACCUGCGGAAGGAUCAUUACUAGAGCAAAGGAUAGACAGCGCCCGCGGAGCCUUGCUCCCUGGGGCUACCCUACUUCGGUAAGGUUUAGAGUCGUCGGGCCUCUCGAAGAAGCUCGGUCCUGAACUCCACCCUUGAAUAAAUUACCUUUGUUGCUUUGGCGGGCCGCCUCGUGCCAGCGGCUUCGGCUGUUGCGUGCCCGCCAGAGGACCACAACUCUUGUUUUUAGUGAUGUCUGAGUACUAUAUAAUAGUUAAAACUUUCAACAACGGAUCUCUUGGCUCUG
This 311-nucleotide unclassified non-coding RNA is filed under the name fungal sp. Its description in RNAcentral is "partial internal transcribed spacer region". The stretch from base 1 to 46 matches the Rfam family "Eukaryotic small subunit ribosomal RNA", at positions 1786 to 1831 of the family's 1831-position model. The record is from RNAcentral. Lineage: Eukaryota; Fungi.